This 372-nucleotide long non-coding RNA is filed under the name Homo sapiens (human). RNAcentral's name for it is "HSALNT0388664". The record is from RNAcentral. Lineage: Eukaryota; Metazoa; Chordata; Mammalia; Primates; Hominidae.
CCCUGAGUGCCGUAAAAGGCUUGGUCCUUUUGGAAGUCACAACACUGGCCUUGUUAACGAGGUACACGAGGUUGACGACACCAUCCAGACCCUGCAGCAGCGCCUGAGGGAUGCAGAGGACACCCUGCAGUCGCUGGUCCACAUCAAAGCCACACUCGAGUAUGACCUGGCUGUCAAAGCCAAUUCCCUGUACAUCGACCAGGAAAAAUGCAUGAGCAUGCGCAAGAGCUACCCCAACACCCUCCGGCUGGUCGGCUUCUGCUAGGGACCCCACCGGGUGUGGUUUUGAUACCCCUAAGUUAAGGCUGAGCCAGAGCACUGUCUCAGCAUUUGAACCGAAUGCUAAUAUAGUCACUUAUUAAAGGAUUAUGC